UGGGGAAUUUUGGACAAUGGGCGAAAGCCUGAUCCAGCAAUGCCGCGUGUGUGAAGAAGGCCUUCGGGUUGUAAAGCACUUUUGUCCGGAAAGAAAUCCUUGGCUCUAAUACAGUCGGGGGAUGACGGUACCGGAAGAAUAAGCACCGGCUAACUACGUGCCAGCAGCCGCGGUAAUACGUAGGGUGCAAGCGUUAAUCGGAAUUACUGGGCGUAAAGCGUGCGCAGGCGGUUUGCUAAGACCGAUGUGAAAUCCCCGGGCUCAACCUGGGAACUGCAUUGGUGACUGGCAGGCUAGAGUAUGGCAGAGGGGGGUAGAAUUCCACGUGUAGCAGUGAAAUGCGUAGAGAUGUGGAGGAAUACCGAUGGCGAAGGCAGCCCCCUGGGCCAAUACUGACGCUCAUGCACGAAAAGCGUGGGGAGCAAAACAGGAUUAGAUACCCUGGUAGUCCACGCCCUAAAACGAUGUCAACUAGUUGUUGGGGAUUCAUUUCCUUAGU
RNAcentral lists this ribosomal RNA (499 nucleotides) under uncultured bacterium. RNAcentral describes it as "partial 16S ribosomal RNA". It matches the Rfam family "Bacterial small subunit ribosomal RNA", at positions 355 to 844 of the family's 1533-position model. The record is from RNAcentral.